This is a long non-coding RNA of Polyodon spathula (Mississippi paddlefish), 465 nucleotides long. RefSeq lists it as uncharacterized. Lineage: Eukaryota; Metazoa; Chordata; Actinopteri; Acipenseriformes; Polyodontidae. The transcript has 3 exons. The record is from RefSeq and is a predicted model, not a curated record.
AUUCUGCUGCUGCUGAAAAUAAAUACAUGUAUCCAGACUAGGGUUGCUGUGUCUGGGAGGUGCCGUGUUUAGAACCUAUACCAAACUGAAAAUUGUAAAAAAUUACAGAUGUGUUACUCAAGUCGAAAACUGGGGAAUCUGACUUGGAAUCAGUUUUGUUCCUGAAGCUGAGAGGUCUUGGCAUCUAUGAUCUUGGGUGUAUUGGAGACGGCAUAAACCUGGAAAGGCUGGACCUUUCAAGAAACAACAUUACAAGCUCAGCACCUCUGGCUUCCCUAAGACUCCUUCUAGUGCUCAAUGUUUCUGGAAACAGAAUCAUCAAUUUAGGUAAUGGAAGGUGGUAAUAAGAUUUGUUACUGAUUUACCAAAGAAUAUUUUUGGACACAUUAAAACUACUACUAAUUACCUCCAAAUGAUUUUAUUCAAGUCCCCACCCCCAUUCCAGCCAUGUACUUUUUAUUGUUU